UCAGCUAAAGCAACGGCAACUCCAGGAAAAUCGUGUGUUUGCUGCUGCUAAUAAAAUGCAGAUCCAAUUAGUGUCCGUCAGCUGUGCGGAAAUACGAGUAUCUCCAGUGGAGUCCAUACUCGAUGGUAGGCUUGAUGGAUAUUGCAAGUGUGCUUGGACUGGUUUCUUGCGGGAAGCACCCUCAAAUCGAUCCUUGAUUUGGCAGAGCAUUGGUUGAGGAAACACCUGGAAAGAAAAGGUUUGUUCAAAUUAAAUCACCGGAAUUUUGUGGACUUGCUUAGACUGUGGCGAAGGCCAUUCUUUUACUAGCGUAGGGCAGAUUGUGUGGGAGAAAGGAUGCUUGUUGCAAGAAUGGGCAUCUUGUUCUCGUGCCCGGCCGACUACUAUGACCCAAUGGAAGAAGGCAUCCUCGAACCGUCGGCGAGCUCUGGCGGCCUUAGGGCCUUGGAUUCCAGCAAGCUGCUCAUAUAGGGGUCGCUCAGUUUCAAAAGGGCACAACUCGACGACAACUACCCCAGCUCUCUCCAGGUGGAGACCGAGAUCUCAAUCAAGACCGCCGACAUUGCCGCCAUUGCACCAGACUCUUCCCCUGCCACGGUGGUGCCUCUCGUGCAGAGAGCUCUUGCCAUGGUGAUGUACACCGACGGCGGCCUCGGGCGCGGAGAGCCCAAAGCACGAGGCGGCGGCGAUGUGAGGCAACGAGAGCGUCAUGAGGCAGGCUCUCAAGAUGAAGAACGGGAGGAGGAGCGCCGGCUCAGGAAAGCUGCAUAUAUUUUUCAUGGAUGCCUUUACAUAUUCUAUGUUAGCCUUAUUGUGGAGGAAUAGGUCGCGUCAAUGUGGAGACUAGGCGAACUCAAGUGGUCAUCGACUUGCCUCUACGCUAGCCAACACCCUAUCAAAUUGAGAAAUUUGAGUUGUGUUUUGUCUGAAUUUUCGACUGAAUCUCGGGAUCUUUGUGAGAACGAAAGCACCAGUCUCAAAAACUGCCAAAGACCACUUGUUGUUGGUGGUCGUGUUCACAGAGCAAUUAUUAUGGUUCUUGGAAGUUGAACAAGACAACGGAAAUAGAAAUGAGGUUCCAAGUCAUUAGCCAGAGUACCUCAUAUGCUUGCUCUGUAUGCGAUCAGCUAUGUGUCUAUGUGCUCUGUUCUCCCAUCUGUUUUGUGCCAUCUUUUUUCCUUUCUGUUUCCGUAUGUGUAUGUUGUCCUAUCUAUUUUGUGCACUAUAGUUUAAUUAGCAAAUUUCUGUCAAAUCUGAGAGCUUUAACUGUUUUAUAAGAACAACCUGAUCCGAUCUCAUCCUGGACUGUGUUAUGGAUAUUAGCUAAAUUCUAUAGAGUGUACAUAGGAAUUCCACAACUUGCCUUUUUCAAUAUACUCAGUGUUUCCAUCCAUCCAUGUUGGAAUAUAUGCUAUACUUAAUGUUUC
Molecule: long non-coding RNA, 1427 nt
Organism: Lolium rigidum
Lineage: Eukaryota; Viridiplantae; Streptophyta; Magnoliopsida; Poales; Poaceae
Exons: 8
Source: RefSeq, a predicted model, not a curated record